GGAGAGGUGGCCGAGCGGCUGAAGGCGCACGCUUGGAAAGCGUGUGUGCGUUCACGCGUACCGCGGGUUCGAAUCCCGCCCUCUCCG
RNAcentral lists this transfer RNA (87 nucleotides) under Fidelibacterota bacterium. RNAcentral describes it as "tRNA-Ser". It matches the Rfam family "tRNA". From Rfam's summary of the family: Transfer RNA (tRNA) molecules are approximately 80 nucleotides in length. Their secondary structure includes four short double-helical elements and three loops (D, anti-codon, and T loops). RNAcentral also lists the same sequence under 2 other names. Lineage: Bacteria; Pseudomonadati; Fidelibacterota. The record is from RNAcentral.